Long non-coding RNA from Cebus imitator (Panamanian white-faced capuchin), 487 nucleotides. RefSeq lists it as uncharacterized. NCBI's taxonomy places the organism in Eukaryota, Metazoa, Chordata, Mammalia, Primates, Cebidae. The transcript is spliced from 3 exons. The record is from RefSeq and is a predicted model, not a curated record.
UAAAAGUUCCGCCCAGACGCUCCUGCUCAUUAACAACUGACGCGAAGCUCAGCCUUUGGUUUGGGGAUUUUCUUGGAAGCCGAGGUCCAAAGCCUCAGUCUGCAACCGAGGCGACCGCCCAGCUUACCCGUGGCUCUUCUGAGUAAAGGGAGGCCUCCCAGCAGAGCCUGAAAACCUCUAAAUUUGGCCGCAGGCUUCGAACCCUGACCGUCCCCGCCCAGCCUUGGGCUGCUGGGGUGGGGAUGAACUGGGCUAAAGACACUUGAGAGUUAGGAAGAAACAAACAAGCAGGGAAGUGGCCGGGAGACGAGAGAAGGGAGAAACACCAUUGGGAGGCAGCUGGUAGUCCCACCACAUCAAGGAAAAUAGGAUUCAAAAAGCAAACAAGAUUAGAGGAAAAAAAGCGAAACAGCUCUGCUAAGGUAAUUCCACUACACAUAUCCGAGAAGACACCCUGUGCCCCUAGAGGAACACGAAACAGUAACCA